UAAGAAACAUAUGGUUAUCAGAACGUUGUGUGCUAGCUGGGUAACCUAUAUUCUUGUAAAAUCGAGUGAUGUUGUUUAUAAUCCACCAGAAGGCCUUUAUUUAAUCCUAGCCAGAAUUUUAGCAUUUUCAAUAAAAAAUACUAGCUAUUUAAUGGAUGUGUCCUGGCAGAUAAUGGCUGGAAAAAAAUACUCAAUAGGCUAAUUCAGUUUCAGUAUAAUCUACUAGUAUUAUUUUCAUGUGAUAUAAUAGACGUUAUAAACUGUUAAAUUAGCAUACCUAAUUAGCCGGUUUCCAAUUUGGAAUCUGUCGUUAUAUUAUUCACAUCCACGCGCUUUCAGGACAGAAUUUCACAGGGCUUUCCUUACGGUAUUCAGAGCAUAAAAUAAGACAUUUCCCUUUUAAGACGAAACGAUGCCUCUGUUUGACAAGUCUUGGCUCCAAAAGAGUGUCCGCUUCGUGGGCGUAGGCGUGAACCUAUUCAAGUACAGUAACAGCAAUGGAAUUGGGUGAAAGGAUUGUUUGCUUCAGCUGUCAGAAAAGGGAGUAGGUGUACUACGUAGAUAAGCAAAGUUGUGGGAUGAUAUUAUGCAAAUUCUCUAGUUUUAGACCCUAGAGGGGAAAAUUAUGAAGACAGACUGUGUAAUUGUCAGGACUGUUUAAUUGUAAUUAAAUGAAGCCUGUUUCUUUGUUAUGCCUGUCCCCAGAUAUGGAGAGCUGUGAAAGCCUGUCUGUAGAUGAAGAGGUCCCAGUGAAUGUCCCAAGAGAUUGCUGGCACAUCCUUGUAUGCCAUGGGUUGUAUGUGUAUUUAUGUUAACAAAUGUUGUAUACAACAAUACAGUUAAAAGUCACACAGAAUGUAGGCUACAAACUUAUUACAACUGUAGCAGGCCAAUCCUUCUCCUGGAGGUAUGCUGGGUGUGCACGCUUUUGUUCAAGCCCAGCACUAACACCUGAUUCAAACCUAUUGAGUUGAGAAUGUGUAUUUUUGCUGGGCUGGAAUACUGCUCACCCAGUAUAUCAGGGAGUGGAGCAAGGUUGGCAACCUCUGGUAUGGCUUUUUUGUACACCUGAAAUUAGGCUUUAGUAAUAAUAUCCUACUUACUAAGAUGUCUAACAUUUACAAACACGUUUUGUACAAACUUGUACAUUUUUAAAUUCAAUGUUGAUUCAUUGAAGUGUUUAAACUGGUUUUAAUUGUUAACUUAAAACAUUCAAGUUGUGGCAAUGUUCAUUCAUGACAGAACACAAUUCUGCAAUAAAAAGGUGUGAAGAGGAUCUGUCUCUAAUUUGUCUGUUUCUGUGUUGCUUUCGUGAAGUAACAUUACCUUUUUGUCCAGUUGUGAGCUCUCCAAUCGGUUUUAUUUGAUUGUCACUCUCAGGAUAUCAGCCAUGUGAACCCAUUUUGCAGCUUAUCAUAAUGGCAUGCAUCACCAAUGCAGCCAUAGGCCUAACGUUUGAUGGCAUUACUGGCCUAAUGGGCAUGUCCAUCAACGUGCCCCUUGUCAUUGUACAUCUAAUGCAGCUCUACGGACAAUUUCUUUGACCUCGUGGCUUGGUUUUUGCUCUGACAUGCCUUGUUAACUGUGGGACCUUAUAUAGACAGGUGUGUGUGCCUUUCCAAAUCAUGUCCAAUCAAUUGACUUUACCACAGGUGGACUCCAAUCAAGUUGUAGAACCAUCCCAAGGAUGAUCAAUGAAAACAGGAUGCACCUGAGCUCAAUUUUGAUUCUCAUAGCAAAGGGUCUGAAUACUUAUGUAGAUAAGGUAUUUCUGUU
RNAcentral lists this long non-coding RNA (1776 nucleotides) under Salmo salar (Atlantic salmon). Its description in RNAcentral is "lncRNA (ENSSSAG00000093531.1)". The record is from RNAcentral. Lineage: Eukaryota; Metazoa; Chordata; Actinopteri; Salmoniformes; Salmonidae.